UGAGGUAGUUGGUUGUAUAGAUGAAGAGGUGGUUCAGGUUGACCCUUUGGAGUAACCUAUACAGCCAACUGCCUUCC
Molecule: microRNA precursor, 77 nt
Filed under: Eptatretus burgeri (inshore hagfish)
Lineage: Eukaryota; Metazoa; Chordata; Myxini; Myxiniformes; Myxinidae
Description: Ebu-Let-7-P2o9_pre stem-loop
Source: RNAcentral